GAGCUCAUUAGUGGGAGGACGGCACCAAGACAUUUAUAAAGGAUCUGCCCGCAUGUCCCAAACACUUCCCACUAGGCCCUGCCUCCUGCACUGGGCCUCAAAUAUAUUUAUUUAAAGGUCCUGCUCUGUUGCCCAGACUGGAGUCCAGUGGUGUGAUCAUGGCUCACUGCAGCGUCCGCCUGCUGGACUGAAGUGAUCCUUCCACCUCAGCCUCCCUAGUGCUGGGACUACAGGUAAGUGCUGAGGAUACAGCAAAGAACAAGUCAGACAUGGUCCAUGCCCUCACGGAGCUCACAGCUGAUUGGUGGAGACAGGUCGUAAACAAGAAGGCUUGAUGAAUGUUAUGAAAGGAAGGAAGAUGAGCAGUGGGUGUCUACCGCAAAGCAGCCUUCGCCCUGACUUUCCUCCCAAAUGCCUAUUUUUUCAGAGGACAUUUAAAGAAAUCUGCUGGCAUUGGCCCUGGCUGGGCUGUUGUAAGGCAAACCCACGCCUCUGAUUUCUUCCCCAGAAGCUUUAGCCCUGCCCACAUGGCUUCUCCUAGAGGGUGUCACCCUGCAGGUCUGAGGUUGCUGCUGGCAACGGGAGCACCUUGGGCACUGCAGUCUGGAAUGUGCAUGCUGGCCCUCAGCUGCUGUGCCAAAGGGUGGUGGGGAGAGCCCUGGGAGGGCAUGCUUGAUGAUUCCUUUUUAUUUUUAUUUUUUAGAGACAGGGUCUCGCGCUGUAGCCCAGGCUGGAGUGUGGUGUAGUGGUGUGAUCUCGGCUCACUGCAACCUCCGCCUCCCAGGUUCAAGUGAUUCUCUUGCCUCCGCGUCCUGAGUAGCUGAGAUUACAGCCACACCUGGCUAAUUUUUGUACUUUUACUAGAGAUGGGGUUUCACCAUGUUGGCCAUGCCGGUCAUGAACUCCUGACCUCAAGUGAUCCGCCUGCCCUGGCCUCCCAAAGUGCUGGGAUUACAGAUGUGAGCCACCACGCCCAGCCAUGCUCGAUGAUUCUUGACGGGCCCUGGAUCCAGCUGACAGCCACCCGGGAGCCGCACCACGGGGAAUGCUGCGUAGGUUCUCAAGUGCACAUCUCACAGCUUCGCUGACAGGACAGCAAAGGACCAGAGAGAGGAAGUAACUCACCCAAGGCCCUUCAGGUGACUGGUGCACAGCCUGGGCAGAAGCCAAGUUUCCUGAUUCUGAGGCCAUUCAGGGUUGACCUCGCCCCCAAAUCAUCAGUUCUGGAAACUGAAAGUCCAAGAUCACAGCUCCAGCAGAACCAGUGUCUGGUGGGGACCCUUCCUGGUUCAUGGACAACUGUCUUCUUGCUGUGUCCUCACGAUUAAAAGAGUGAGAAAUAUC
RNAcentral lists this long non-coding RNA (1344 nucleotides) under Homo sapiens (human). RNAcentral's name for it is "HSALNT0345613". Lineage: Eukaryota; Metazoa; Chordata; Mammalia; Primates; Hominidae. The record is from RNAcentral.